This 68-nucleotide transfer RNA is filed under the name Pseudanthias dispar (peach fairy basslet). RNAcentral's name for it is "tRNA-Arg". It matches the Rfam family "tRNA". From Rfam's summary of the family: Transfer RNA (tRNA) molecules are approximately 80 nucleotides in length. The record is from RNAcentral. Lineage: Eukaryota; Metazoa; Chordata; Actinopteri; Perciformes; Anthiadidae.
GAGCAUUAGUUUAAAUAAAACAUUUGAUUUCGGCUCAAAAGAUUUUGGUUAAACCCCACAAUAGCUCU